GCCCUCUCAGGGGGCUUCUAGGAACAUUGCCACCAUGCUGUGAGGAAGCCCAAGCCACAUGGAAAGACCACAGCCCCCAGGUAUUUGUGCCUUCCCAGAUGAGACUCCAGACAUCAUCAGAGACAAGCCAUCAUCCUUGCUUUGCCAUGUCCAAAUGCCUCACCCAGAGAAUCAGUUACAGCGACAGAGGGCCAUCUAUGAACCAGGAAGCAGCCCCUCACCAAGCACUGAAUCUGCCAGCGCCUUCAUCUUGAACUACCGGCCUCCAAAACUGUUGUUUAGCCAACUGCCGGAAAUAAAGAACCGAAGAUGGGUGAACUACAAGAAUAUCAACGGAUCCCCCAGGGUGAAGUAAAGUAAAACUCACUUUCUCAGAAUUGAACAACAAAAAUCAUAAACUUGGGGAGAAAACUGCAUCACAUAAAAUCCACAAACAAUCUUCGAACACCUGAAGAAUAUGUUCAAGGAACUACGAGACACUGCAGGGGCCCCAGAGGGAGAACACGAAGUUUUUGCUUCCCGAUGACUACUCUCCAUGCUUCUGAGCCAUAUAUCUUUAACAUGGAGGAAUCCAAUGUGUCCCGAGAGAGUGCUUAUGGAUGUGCUGAGAUAUCUGCCAGCAAGUAGUGGAGGAAGUGAGCUUCCAAGUCUCAAAUAUAUGUCCCAUGAAUGUGAC
This is a long non-coding RNA of Orcinus orca (killer whale), 676 nucleotides long. RefSeq lists it as uncharacterized. NCBI's taxonomy places the organism in Eukaryota, Metazoa, Chordata, Mammalia, Artiodactyla, Delphinidae. The record is from RefSeq and is a predicted model, not a curated record. The transcript is spliced from 7 exons.